Molecule: ribosomal RNA, 468 nt
Filed under: uncultured bacterium
Lineage: Bacteria
Description: partial 16S ribosomal RNA
Rfam family: Bacterial small subunit ribosomal RNA
Source: RNAcentral
GACGAACGCUGGUGGCGUGCUUAACACAUGCAAGUCGAACGGAAAGGCCCUGCUUUUGUGGGGUGCUCGAGUGGCGAACGGGUGAGUAACACGUGAGUAACCUGCCCUUGACUUUGGGAUAACUUCAGGAAACUGGGGCUAAUACCGGAUAGGGGCUCCUGCUGCAUGGUGGGGGUUGGAAAGUUUCGGCGGUUGGGGAUGGACUCGCGGCUUAUCAGCUUGUUGGUGGGGUAGUGGCUUACCAAGGCUUUGACGGGUAGCCGGCCUGAGAGGGUGACCGGCCACAUUGGGACUGAGAUACGGCCCAGACUCCUACGGGAGGCAGCAGUGGGGAAUAUUGCACAAUGGGCGGAAGCCUGAUGCAGCAACGCCGCGUGCGGGAUGACGGCCUUCGGGUUGUAAACCGCUUUCGCCUGUGACGAAGCGUGAGUGACGGUAAUGGGUAAAGAAGCACCGGCUAACUACGUG